AUGGCGCCUGGGCUGCGGUUCCCGCCGGCGUUCGCCCUCGUGCAGCUCGUGGUCACGCUGCUCGCUGUGCUGCCUCGCCAUGUUGUGCCGGACCUGGCCGGCGACCGCGACGCGCUGCUCGCCCUGCGCACCGCCGUGGGAAGUCAUCUGAAGUGGGACCUCUCGGUGUCCCCGUGCCAGGGGUGGCAAGGCGUCAGCUGCAGCCCCGGCCCCAACCAGCGCGUCGUGGAGGUGCGGCUAGUUGCCAAGAGCCUGAGCGGGCAGAUCCCGGUCGGCACGGUGGGCAACCUCACCGCCCUACAGACGCUGUCGCUCCGGUUUAACGCCAUCUCCGGCCCCAUCCCGGCGGACAUCGGCAGCUGCACCGAGCUCCGGUGGCUGUACCUCAAGGGGAACCGAUUUGACGGCGACAUACCGGAGAGCUUCUUCUCGCUGGCAUUGCUCAAGAAGGCCGAUCUCUCCGGGAAUCGCCUCACCGGCGGCGUGUCAUCAGAGUUCAACAAGCUCGGGAACCUCGCCACGUUGAACCUCGAGGGCAAUAACCUUAACGGCGCGCUCCCGAGCGGCCUUGACCUCCCAAAGCUCACGCAGUUCAACGUGUCCUACAACGGCCAGAUCGAUGGCCCCGUGCCCGCGUCACUCGCCGGGCUGCCCGCGAGCGCCUUCCUCGGGACGGCGCUUUGCGGCGGCCCUCUCGCUGCUUGCCCCAACUCCGACUCCGAGGCCCACAAGAGUCGCAAGCUAACCCUUGGCGCCAUCGUCGGCAUCAUCAUCGCUGCGUUGGUCGUUCUCAUCGUCAUCCUUUCAAUCUGCGUUCUCAUCUUCAGCCGGCGGCGGCGGGCGGCGGCCGGAAGGUCCACCGAGGCCGCGGCCGACGUGCACGAGGGCACGGAGCCUAUAACGGUGACCGUGGCGAUGACGGGCAGGGACGCCGUGAAGCGGUCGCACUCCCCGCCGGGUUCGCCGUUGAUCGGCGACGGCAAGAAGCUGGUGUUCCUGGGCAGCGCGCCGGAGAGGCCCUAUGACCUGGAGACGAUGCUGCGGGCGUCCGCCGAGGUGCUCGGCAAGGGCGUCCACGGGACGACGUACCGUGCAACGCUCGACGGCGGCGAGCCCGUCCUCGCCAUCAAACGCCUCCGCGAUGUCCACCUCCCUGAGCGCGAGUUCCGGGACAGGGUGGUCGCCCUCGGCGCUCUCCGCCACGACAACCUGCCGGGUCUCCGCGCCUACUUCUACAGCAAGGAGGAGAAGCUCCUCGUCUUCGACUUCGUCGGCGCCGGCAGCCUCUCCUCCCUUCUCCACGGCAGCGGAGCGGAGCGCCUCGACUUCACGACGCGCGCACGGAUCGCGCUGGCGGCGGCGCGCGGCGUGGCGUUCAUCCACGGCGGAGGGCCCAAGGCGUCGCACGGCAGCAUCAAGGCGUCCAACAUCGUCGUCAGCGGGAAGCGCGACAGCGCCUACGUGGCCGACUACGGCCUGGCGCAGCUCGUCGGCACAGCGGGGCUGCCGAAGCGGGGCACGGGCUACCGCGCCCCGGAGGUGACCGACGCGCGCGUCGUGUCGCAGAAGGCCGACGUGUACAGCUUCGGUGUGGUGGUGCUGGAGCUGCUCACCGGGCGCGCGCCGACGCACGCGCUCCCGGAUGGCGGCGCCGGCGGCAGCGGCGUGGACCUCGCGCGGUGGGUGCGGUCGGUGGUGCAGGAGGAGUGGACGUCCGAGGUGUUCGACUCCGUCAUCGGCAGCGAGCCGCGCGUGGAGGAGGAGAUGAUGCGGCUGCUGCAGCUCGGGAUGGAGUGCACCGAGCAGCACCCCGACCGGCGCCCGACGAUGGCCGAGGUGGAGGCGAGGAUCGAGCGCAUCGUCGAGGACGCGAGCCGGAGGGCCGACUUCAGCAGCACCGACGGCAGCCGGAGCGUGUCCGCAUGA
RNAcentral lists this ribosomal RNA (1926 nucleotides) under Triticum aestivum (bread wheat). Its description in RNAcentral is "partial small subunit ribosomal RNA". Lineage: Eukaryota; Viridiplantae; Streptophyta; Magnoliopsida; Poales; Poaceae. The record is from RNAcentral.